Molecule: long non-coding RNA, 214 nt
Organism: Neopelma chrysocephalum (saffron-crested tyrant-manakin)
Lineage: Eukaryota; Metazoa; Chordata; Aves; Passeriformes; Pipridae
Exons: 4
Source: RefSeq, a predicted model, not a curated record
CAUGCCUCCAACAAGGAGAAGGAGAUGAUCACCAGCCUCUUCUGCAAACUGGCCGCGCUGGUCCGGCACCGCGUCUCGCUCUUCGGCACGGACGCCCCGGCCGUGGUGAACUGUCUGCUCAUCCUGGCCCGAUCCCUGGACGCCAGGACGGUGAUGAAGUCAGGCCCCGAGAUCGUCAAGGCCGGGCUCCGCUCGUUCUUCGAGUCGGCGGCCG